This 497-nucleotide ribosomal RNA is filed under the name uncultured bacterium. Its description in RNAcentral is "partial 16S ribosomal RNA". It matches the Rfam family "Bacterial small subunit ribosomal RNA", at positions 28 to 507 of the family's 1533-position model. The record is from RNAcentral.
GAUGAACGCUGGCGGCGUGCCUAAUACAUGCAAGUCGAGCGAACGGACGAGAAGCUUGCUUCUCUGAUGUUAGCGGCGGACGGGUGAGUAACACGUGGAUAACCUACCUAUAAGACUGGGAUAACUUCGGGAAACCGGAGCUAAUACCGGAUGAUAUUUUGAACCGCAUGGUUCAAAAGUGAAAGACGGUCUUGCUGUCACUUAUAGAUGGAUCCGCGCUGCAUUAGCUAGUUGGUAAGGUAACGGCUUACCAAGGCAACGAUGCAUAGCCGACCUGAGAGGGUGAUCGGCCACACUGGAACUGAGACACGCUCCAGACUCCUACGGGAGGCAGCAGUAGGGAAUCUUCCGCAAAGGGCGAAAGCCUGACGGAGCAACGCCGCGUGAGUGAUGAAGGUCUUCGGAUCGUAAAACUCUGUUAUUAGGGAAGAACAUAUGUGUAAGUAACUGUGCACAUCUUGACGGUACCUAAUCAGAAAGCCACGGCUAACUACGUG